This 576-nucleotide ribosomal RNA is filed under the name Penicillium sp. C50. RNAcentral describes it as "eukaryotic LSU rRNA". It matches the Rfam family "Eukaryotic large subunit ribosomal RNA", at positions 38 to 629 of the family's 3401-position model. The record is from RNAcentral. Lineage: Eukaryota; Fungi; Ascomycota; Eurotiomycetes; Eurotiales; Aspergillaceae.
GCAUAUCAAUAAGCGGAGGAAAAAGAAACCAACAGGGAUUGCCCCAGUAACGGCGAGUGAAGCGGCAAGAGCUCAAAUUUGAAAGCGGCUCCUUCGGGGUCCGCAUUGUAAUUUGCCGAGGAUGCUUCGGGAGCGGUCCCCAUCUAAGUGCCCUGGAACGGGACGUCAUAGAGGGUGAGAAUCCCGUAUGGGAUGGGGUGUCCGCGCCCGUGUGAAGCUCCUUCGACGAGUCGAGUUGUUUGGGAAUGCAGCUCUAAAUGGGUGGUAAAUUUCAUCUAAAGCUAAAUAUUGGCCGGAGACCGAUAGCGCACAAGGAGAGUGAUCGAAAGAUGAAAAGCACUUUGAAAAGAGAGUUAAAAAGCACGUGAAAUUGUUGAAAGGGAAGCGCUUGCGACCAGACUCGCUCGCGGGGUUCAGCCGGCAUUCGUGCCGGUGUACUUCCCCGCGGGCGGGCCAGCGUCGGUUUGGGCGGUCGGUCAAAGGCCCUCGGAAGGUAACGCCCCUAGGGGCGUCUUAUAGCCGAGGGUGCAAUGCGACCUGCCUAGACCGCGGAACGCGCUUCGGCCCGGACGCUGG